This 181-nucleotide small nuclear RNA is filed under the name Seriola dumerili (greater amberjack). RNAcentral describes it as "U2 spliceosomal RNA (ENSSDUG00000021697.1)". It matches the Rfam family "U2 spliceosomal RNA". From Rfam's summary of the family: U2 is a small nuclear RNA (snRNA) component of the spliceosome (involved in pre-mRNA splicing). Complementary binding between U2 snRNA (in an area lying towards the 5' end but 3' to hairpin I) and the branchpoint sequence (BPS) of the intron results the bulging out of an unpaired adenosine, on the BPS, which initiates a nucleophilic attack at the intronic 5' splice site, thus starting the first of two transesterification reactions that mediate splicing. Lineage: Eukaryota; Metazoa; Chordata; Actinopteri; Carangiformes; Carangidae. The record is from RNAcentral.
AAACUUUUUCAAAAGAAAAGAAAAACUCUUUUUUUUUAUCAGUUUAAUAUCUGAUACGUCCUCUAUACGAGAACAACAUAUUAAAGUGAUUUUUAGAACUGGGAGCCGAAAAAGGGGCUUGCUCCGUUCGCUCCACGCAUCGACCCGGCAUUGCAGUGCCGCCAGGUACGGUGCAACCUUC